GGCAGUGACACCUUGCCAGAUACUUCUUUUUUUUAAAGACAGAGUUUCGCUCUUGUUGCCCAGGCUGGAAUGCAAUGGCGCGAUCUCGGCUCACUGCAACUUCCGCCUCCCGGGUUCAAGAGAGUCUCCUGCCUCAGCCUCCCGGGUUCAAGAGAGUCUCCUGCCUCAGCCUCCCGAGUAGCCGGGAUUACAGGCAUGCGCCACCACGCAAAAUAGGCUAAUUUUAUAUUUUUAGUACAGACGGGGUUUCUCCAUGUUGGUCAGGCUGGUCUCGAACUCCCGACCUCAGAUGAUCCGUCCGCCCCCCCAACCCAAAGUGCUGGGAUUACAGGCGUAAGCCACCGCGCCCGGCCGCCAGAGACAUCUUUAAGGAACUUGGCGGUCUGGAGCCAGCCCGUACAUUAAUAUUCAAGGCCACAGCGCUGGUGAGUUCGGCGCCCUCUGUUGUAUUUUUGCAUCCCGGGAAGGCUGGCCCGGCUCUUUGGCCCGGCGUGUUUUGCUUCCGCGGGGGAGGUAAAGCUCUGCAGGACCCCGAUCGCCACGGCCUGCCGCAGUGGCCUGGAGUCGGCUGCCCCAGGGAACCACCUGGACAGCCCGAGGGCAAGAAAGCGGCACCAGUGGCCGACUCCACUGACUCUGGGCUGAAGAUGCCAUCAGUUAAAGAAAAGACACAUGAAAUUCUGGCAGAUUCGCUCAGAGGGCGCUUGGAGCACCAAGCCCAGCCUCUCAGGAAACUGAGGUCCAAGGGACAAAAAGAAUCUGCAGUCUCUUGCCGGCCUGUGUCCCCGUGGCCAGAGUCCAGCACCCUCUUCCUCGAAGCAACCAGAAGUGGAAAUGAAAGUGCUCCGUUAACUGUAGACUACAUGCCACCGAAGGGUCAUUCCUGACAGUGGCUUCUCCCCAUUAUCUCUUUAUUGCCGGAGGCUUCAUCUCGCCCCCCUGAAGCUACAGUCCACCCUGAGGUCAUAAACUUCUGCUCAGCACCCAUGGCAACUAAUGCAGAGGUCACCAUCAGAGGAUUAUAACUGCAGAUGGGAAACCGGGAUGAGAGGGGAGUUCUUUAAAAUCCUGUCUUGUUUUCCUGCAAAUAAUGCCUCUUACAUAAAAUCUGCGAAGAAAGAUGAAUGCAGCAAAGAGACUUGCCUUAGAAUCUCAGACUAGAUUGCUUUUUCCAUAUAGACUCCACUUAGUGAUUUUUGUUCUUUAUUUUUUUUUUAAACAAAAACCUAUUUCUGAAAAUACAACGAGCUGCUUUUUGCAGGGUUCACAAUUCCCAAUAGAUGAUGAUGCCAUUUUUCAAGGUCUCACACACGUUGUGGCUUUGGGGCUUAUUUAUUAGCUCCCAAGAAAAGCCUGCCUUUCAGUGAGGUUUAUAUACUCGAGUAAUUGCAUCAGGGGACACAGAGCAGGUUGCUGUUAAAGAGGGUUGGUUGUACAUGCGUCUGCAAGGAAGGCCCUGGGCCAGGCAGCUGUCAGACCAGUGUGCAACGGGUUUAAACAAACACAGGGAAGGGUCUGUGGAAACAGCAAGGAGGAAAUCCCCUUCUGUAAGGGUGUGUGGAACAUUAUUCCAGGGCCACACAUACUGCCAGGGAAUAAUGCCUUUCCUCUCCUCCCUCCAAGUAAACACAUAACUCCGUUAUGGAGAUGGCGCUGGGCCCACCCAGAUCACUUUCAAAUUCAGGUGUCAGAAACCACGGUUGACAUGGAGCAAAAUUGUUUUUAAGUAAAAAUCACGGUGCCGCUUUGAUAUGAAUUCCACCAGGGACUUUCCAAAGGUAUUUAUACACGUGCCUGAGAUUAACUAGAAGGUGAUUUUUUUCCUUUCAACCUUAAUUUCAAAAAAUUACCCAAGAAUUGCACUUGAGCCUGUUACUGCAGAGAAUUGAAAGAACACCCAAAUGCCAGGUCCCUGUGGAUGGGUGGAAGGAUAGACAAAUAAAUGUGUAACUGCAAGAGAGGUUGAUACCAACAUGGUAUUAGCAAGUCACGGCUGAAAAAAAUGCAGAUACCGGCCAAGCACGGUAGCUCACGCCUGUAAUCACAACACUUUGGGAGGCCGAGGCGGGUGGAUCACUUAAGGUCAGGAGUUCGAGACAAGCCUGGCCAACAUGGUGAAACCCCGUCUCCACUAAAAAUACAAAAAUUAGCUAGGCGUGGUGGCGCAAGCCCGUAGAUUCCCGGGAGGCAGAGGUUGCCGUGAGCCGAGAUCACACCACUGCACCCCAGCCUGGGUGACAGAGUGAGACACCCUCUCAAAAAAAGAAAAAAGAAAAAAAAAUGCAGAUACUUUCAGAAAAUAAAUCCCCGCUUCCCGUGUGUGCACUCUAGGCCCCCACAACUGUGGAUUUAAAUUGCCUGGGUUCAAAUUCUACUUCUGCCACCCACUAGCUGAGCAACCCUGGGCAAGUCACUUCUUUCCAUGCCUCAGUUUGAGGCUUCUGGUAGCACCUACGAGCAGUCAAUUGAGCUGUUGAUCCCAACUCCUCACUCUCCCGUGGUGGUUAUCACACGUCUGCAUCCUUGUCACAGCCUUCCAGUGCAGGGACUGUACUUCCCCAUUCCUUGACUUUGGACUUGCUUUAGACAAUGAGAUAAUGGGGAAUAUAACUGGAUCAGAGGCUUGGAAUGUGCUUGCAGGGCCAGACCUGCUUUCCUCUGCUCUGGUGGUCCACCAUGAGACGAACAUGUUGCUGCCUCUUCCAGAGAGGCUUCAGAAUGAACACACAAGGAAGAAACCUGAACUUGAUUCGCUGUCUGGAGCCAUGUCACUCCACAUACAGCAGGACUCAGAGCUGCUUUAGGCAACCUACAGAACAUGAGCAAGGCAGGGAAAAUGCUUAUUGUUGCAAGCCACUGAAUGUUGCAAAGUGUUUUGUUACACAGCAUUGUUGUGGCUGUAGCUGGCUGAUACAUGGCCUCAGUGGGCUAGUGUCAAGACUGAAGACAAAGUAUUUUAAAAAUACUCAGCACAAUUCCUAGGACACAGUAAGAGUUGAAAAUAGUAGUUCUUAUUAGUAAUCAUUAUUAUUGCAAGUAGUUUUACCCAUGAUAGUCACAUAAUUGAAUGUUUGUUAACAUGCAAUUACGUAAUGAGGUUGAAUCCAUGAAUAAGUAUAACUUGAAUAAAGAUUCUGUAAGAGAUGCUACAAGGACACCAGCAACCUGGAAUGUCAGGGACUUGCCACAAUCCUUAAAAUCACAUUCACUCACUCACUCAUUCAUUCAUUCAUUCAGCAGACACUCUCUGAACACCUGCUGUGUGCCACUCACAGGGCUGAAUGUGGGAACCACUAAGGUCACUAAGACUCAGCCCCCUCCUGAAGAAAGGGACCUUCAAAGUCCCACCUUGUGACAAGCACUGUGCUAAGCACUUUCCCAUGCCUAUGAGGCCAGUAUUACUUAUCCCUAUUUUUCAGGCCGGGAGACUGAGGCUUACAAACCAAACACUCAAAGACAAAAGGCCAUGCCUAUUCCAUGAGUGUGCACCAGUGCCCAUGAAUUCAAAUUCAUAGUGGGCAGACCCAUUAGGGAAGCGCUGUGGGGCAGGGCAAAGAACGGACACACCUUGUCACUCUCUGCCUCCUGCAUGCUAGGAGGGGCUCAGUAAACACUGAGGCUCAGGAGCCCCAGGUCCUGCUCCUGCCACUGAAAAGGGCUGCACCUGGGUGUGAGGGAGCCCUUGGGGUCAUUGCGGAGGACUUCAAAUUCAUUUUGGCAGCCUUGGCUUCAGAUUUCUGCCACCUCUGCCACCAGUAACGACCUGCCUCCCACUCUGUGACUUUGACAAAUUUAGACUGCUCAAUAACCUGAAGUGCAUUUCAAUUUCAUAAAUUUAGCAAUGCUCUGGUUAGGCGGCUCCCUUCUGCAGUAAUGCAUCCAUUAAGUGCACUUUAAGCCCAUUUUGGUAUGCUAAUCCAUCACAAAUCCACGUGAAAUUUGGGUUCUUGUGAAAAUUUCCUACACCCCAUCCAAAACCUCUACCGGAUUUAGGACAAUAACAACUAGUGGUUCCUUAGAACAGCAGACUUCGGCUCUGCAUCAAACCUUCAGUGAAAAAAGGAAUGGGGCUUGUUUUAAACCAAUGUCCAGACUUGUAUAUUCACGAGCGCCGUCUGCUCUUACAGGGUCCCCCUGAGGGGCGGUUCGCUUGUUCCAAAAGUGCUGCUGCAGCUUUAAGAUUUCAGAACUCUAUUCCAGAGGAACGGAGUCCUGUAUGUCUCUGCAUGCCCCUCCCCUAGCUCAGAGCCUGUAAAUGUUUACGAAUGACCCAGUUGGAAUCACCUGGCUUGAUUAGCACUUACUCAUCCGUCAGACUUCGUUAGCUUCAUAUGAUUUUCACUAUGUCCUGAUGAAGACUGGGGAUCCUAAAAUACAGGCAGAAGCCUCCGAAGGAAAAUCAGAUGCAGACCCCCAGUGCCUCCAGGGAUGACCACAUCAUCAUAAUGGUGCAACCUGUUUAUCCUACAGCCUCUGAGGCCGGAAGGAAUACGCAGCCAGUAAUUGACAAUACAAAGAACCUACAGGUGAUAAAAGAGACAUAAUGUCAUUGUUAUCACCACGUAAGACUCUGUUGCUACCAACUGUUGAAGGACAGCACCUAUUAAGUAGAUGUUUUUAGCUGCAUAAUAGACAUUUCGCCAAUAAGAUAAAGUUUACAGCUGGUAGCGUUCUCACUUACUUGCUUCUGUCAUAAGAUCUACAACCCAUUCAACAGCAAAAAUGAGCUGUUGACUUGGUAAAUUUAGAGCAGCGUCGCCUGCCCUAGAUGUGAAAUACCUC
This 4782-nucleotide long non-coding RNA is filed under the name Homo sapiens (human). RNAcentral's name for it is "non-protein coding lnc-LHPP-8:1". Lineage: Eukaryota; Metazoa; Chordata; Mammalia; Primates; Hominidae. The record is from RNAcentral.